Molecule: long non-coding RNA, 484 nt
Filed under: Nicotiana benthamiana
Lineage: Eukaryota; Viridiplantae; Streptophyta; Magnoliopsida; Solanales; Solanaceae
Description: long non-coding RNA (NBEN_LNC009859)
Source: RNAcentral
UUGAAAAUCACACGAUUUCCCUUGUCACACAAUUGACUUAUGCUCAAGAGAUUGUGCUUAAGACCCUUAACUAAUAAAACAUUAUCAAUAGAGGAGGUAUCAUCCUUACCAACCGAACCAAUGCCGAUUAUUUUUCCUUUGCUAUUGUCUCCAAAGACUACGUUUCCUCCUUUGGCGGGUCUUGUUUGAAGAAAUUUGGAUGCAUCUCCGGUCAUGUGCUUGGAGCAUCCGCAAUCAAGGUACCAAAGUACACUUGAUGCCUUCAAGCACACCUACAUACCAACUCAAUGAGAUUUAGGUACCCAAGUCAUUUUGGGUCCUUGGGUGUUAGGUGCAAAGUGGUAGUGUGAUUGUUUAAUGGUGAGAUGUCUAUGCCUAGUAAAGCAAACCGGAGCUAUAUGACCUAUCCUAUUACAAUAAUGGCAAAUGACAUUCUGAUUAUGCAUUCUCCUAGGUUGAUAAUAGCUUCUAGGUGGUCUAAAUU